AUGAAAAUUAAAGUUUUUGGCUGGCUCCUUUUCUUUGACAGGCUCAACACGAAGGAUAUGUUGGUCAGACGGCAUUGGCGGUCCCCUUUGGAUGAUAACAUAUGUGUCAUCUGUAAUGCUUAUGUCUAUGAAGAUAGAGCACAUCUUUUCUUUGAAUGUAACUUCAGUUGCAGGGUUUGGAAUUACUUGCAAAUUGAUUGGAGACAUGGCUCUAGUAUCCAGGAGUGUAUCUCCCAAGCAAGGAAAAGAUUUGGACACCCAUUCUUCUUUGAAGUGAUGCUCACGACUGCUUGGAAUAUUUGGAUUCUGAGGAAUGGAAGAACCUUCAGGGGGAUAAGGGCUACUUUUGCAGCAUGGAGAUGUAAUUUUGUACAUGAUAUCCUUCAGGGGGAUAGUUUUAGGCAUAGGCUUGUUGAUUGGGUUAAUUCCCUCACGUAA
Molecule: ribosomal RNA, 438 nt
Filed under: Triticum aestivum (bread wheat)
Lineage: Eukaryota; Viridiplantae; Streptophyta; Magnoliopsida; Poales; Poaceae
Description: partial small subunit ribosomal RNA
Source: RNAcentral